This 203-nucleotide small RNA is filed under the name Arabidopsis thaliana (thale cress). RNAcentral describes it as "ATSL202600". Lineage: Eukaryota; Viridiplantae; Streptophyta; Magnoliopsida; Brassicales; Brassicaceae. The record is from RNAcentral.
AAAGAGUUUAAAAGAUUCACGAGUGCAAAGGGUAGAGUAAAGUUCUUGUAUUGGGACUGGAGUUGGGAUUACCAUUAGAGCUUCAUUGUUAUACUCUAGGUAGAUGGGAUCUUAUCUCUGUAUGCAUAGCUUGGGACUUACCUUUAGCAUUCUACUAAAGCUCAAUCAUAUUUUGAGAGAUCCCUUGUUACUGAAGCCUAUUG